GACGAACGCUGGCGGCGUGCUUAACACAUGCAAGUCGAACGGUGAAGCGCCUUCCUUUUUGGUGGGUGUGGAUGGGUGGCGAACGGGUGAGUAACACGUGAGUAACCUGCCCCCUUCUUCUGGAUAACCGCAUGAAAGUGUGGCUAAUACGGGAUAUUCUGGGUCUGUCGCAUGAUGGGUCUGGGAAAGAUAUUGUUUCGGUGGGGGAUGGGCUCGCGGCCUAUCAGCUUGUUGGUGGGGUGAUGGCCUACCAAGGCGGUGACGGGUAGCCGGCCUGAGAGGGUGGACGGUCACACUGGGACUGAGACACGGCGCAGACUCCGACGGGAGGCAGCAGUGGGGAAUAUUGCACAAUGGGCGCAAGGCUGAUGCAGCGACGCCGCGUGAGGGAUGGAGGCCUUCGGGUUGUGAACCUCUUUCGCCAGUGAAGCAGGCCUGCCUCGUUUGUGGGUGGGUUGACGGUAGCUGGAGAAGAAGCGCCGGCUAACUACGUG
Molecule: ribosomal RNA, 494 nt
Filed under: uncultured bacterium
Lineage: Bacteria
Description: partial 16S ribosomal RNA
Rfam family: Bacterial small subunit ribosomal RNA
Source: RNAcentral